CCGGCGAGUGGCGAACGGGUGAGUAAUGCAUCGGAACGUACCCAGUAGUGGGGGAUAACUUACCGAAAGGUAAGCUAAUACCGCAUACGCACUGAGGUGGAAAGCAGGGGACCGCAAGGCCUUGCGCUAUUGGAGCGGCCGAUGUCGGAUUAGCUAGUUGGUGGGGUAAAGGCCUACCAAGGCGACGAUCCGUAGCGGGUCUGAGAGGAUGAUCCGCCACACUGGAACUGAGACACGGUCCAGACUCCUACGGGAGGCAGCAGUGGGGAAUUUUGGACAAUGGGCGCAAGCCUGAUCCAGCCAUGCCGCGUGAGUGAAGAAGGCCUUCGGGUUGUAAAGCUCUUUCGGCCGGGAAGAAAUCGUGGUGGCGAAUACCUGCCAUGGAUGACGGUACCGGACUAAGAGGCACCGGCUAACUACGUGCCAGCAGCCGCGGUAAUACGUAGGGUGCGAGCGUUAAUCGGAAUUACUGGGCGUAAAGCGUGCGCAGGCGGUUGUGUAAGACAGGCGUGAAAUCCCCGGGCUCAACCUGGGAACUGCGCUUGUGACUGCACGGCUAGAGUACGGCAGAGGGGGGUGGAAUUCCACGUGUAGCAGUGAAAUGCGUAGAGAUGUGGAGGAACACCGAUGGCGAAGGCAGCCCCCUGGGCCGAUACUGACGCUCAUGCACGAAAGCGUGGGGAGCAAACAGGAUUAGAUACCCUGGUAGUCCACGCCCUAAACGAUGUCAACUAGGUGUUGGGUGGGUAAAACCAUUUAGUACCGUAGCUAACGCGUGAAGUUGACCGCCUGGGGAGUAC
This 800-nucleotide ribosomal RNA is filed under the name uncultured bacterium. RNAcentral's name for it is "bacterial SSU rRNA". It matches the Rfam family "Bacterial small subunit ribosomal RNA", at positions 88 to 883 of the family's 1533-position model. The record is from RNAcentral.